GUUUACAGAUGAUAUUUCGUUGAUAAUAUAACAGAUAAUAGUACAUGUUAAAUUGUCAUACUCAAGUAUCAUGAUGAUCCAGACGUCUUUUGUGUCUGGCUGUCAAUAAUAUAGGAAAAUUCAAAAAGAAGGAUAGAACUAUAUAUGCAGAUGAAAUAUGAGAAUCCUUUUGGUAUAGUUGGUUAUUUUGUAUGAGGAUGAUGAUGAACGUCUGGGAUUGCAAUUACGGAUAUAAUUAUGAGCAGUAAUCUGGAAAAAAAUAUAACGGCUGGAUAAACAACUAAACAAGAGACGACUAUCGUUUAAAUCGAAUCAACAGCGAUGUCGAAUACUAACGAGUAGGUGACCCGAGACAAAAGAGAAACAGUGGGCAGUUGAUGAAUUGGAUCUUUUUUUGAUUCAUGAUUUUUUUACAAUUGGAUAUAUUUUUUUGGACCGUUUGGAUUGGAGCAUCAUCACACCUGGUAAAUGUUUCUUCUUUCUCUCCAAAAUCUGCCUAGAAGGUUCUUGCAAAUUUUUGGAUUCAAUUCUCAUAUCAACAAGUCGAGGGCAAGUGAAGACCGCAGUUUAAUUUACAUCAUUCUACUGUCGGCUUUUGACGUUAAACGACGACGACCGCAUAUAUUGUCGUAAAUGAGAAAACUUGCAAAAAUUCUUCAAGAAGCUCACAAGAUAUGAGAUAAUGACGACAAAAUAUAAGGAGUAUACCAGCAACAAAUCUAGUGGCUUAUAUAAAUUCUACAAAAUGUGGAAAAAUACAGAAAGACUCCCUGGAAUUCCCAGCACUCUGGACAUAAUUCUGAAGUGGUGAAAGGCAGACGGUGAGGGUGAAAGGCCAAAAAAAAAGAAGAGAGAAAAAUAAUAAAUAGUUGAGCUAUUAUUUAUUCACAUUGAUUUGUUGCCAGGCCAAUCAGUCAAUCUCGACAUAUGCUUAAAAAUCCAGUUGUUGGAAGAGACUAUUAUUGCUAACUGGCAAUUGGAAAGUCUCGGUGGGCUUACUCAAUUUCUUGUUACAUACUGUCGAUCAUGAAAUGAUUAUCCAUGACGAUAGGAAAAAGUUCACGCUAGUGAAAAUUUAUGGAAUAUUCAAAUGAGGGGAUGUCAAGAAUCUCUAGGAGUCAUAUCGGAUUCUGGUUGAAUGCUUGAAUGAAUGUAAUACCAAGAAAUCCCAAGAAGCCACAUCAAAACUUCAGCUCAAUUUGUAAAAAUUUUCAUUGGAUAUUAUAUCUCGUAUUGAUUCAUUUCAUCAACUAAAAAAGGUGUACAGUCAAGUGAAACGUGAGAUAUAGAUUUCUUACGAUGGAGAUUCAAGGAAAAACCAUUGUUGUUUUAUUUCAUUUCCGUGGCAAGUAAAACGACUUUCUAUUUCCACGAUCUAUUUCCAUCCCCCGACAAGUAAAGUGGUAUAUAUGGAAGAACAAAAUCAUGGCUCUUGGACAGGAACUGAUGGAAAAAAGAAAACGAAAAUGGAAUAUCCUGGUAUCAUGACGAAUAAAGAAGAAAUAACGAUAAAGUAAAAACAUGUAGAGUGAUUGAAAGAAUAACAAAACUUGACGUCUUUUGCCAAAAAAAAAAAAAAUGAAAGUGUACUUUUAAAAGUACUUUGAUGGGUUUAGUAUUGUAUAAUAUAGAUGAUCGUAUUCUGCAGAUGUACUGCUUGGGGCUGUGUCUAUUCAUUCAUUCUAAAAUCCAACAUCCACUGUUAUAUUGAAUUUUGUGAAGAAAAAAAAAAAACGCCAUACUAAGCUUAUGCCAACGUAAAAUUAUUGUUGAUAUACAGUAGGGACUAGACAGAAUUAAAAGGGAGGCCAAAAAUAAAAAAAAAAAAAAGAAACCCACAGUGAACAACGGGUCGUGUAUCUAAUGAAAACACGUGGCUUUAUAUACACGUGACCCAAAGAAAUCGACACCCUGUGACAUUUGGGAAAUUCGAGUGGUAAUCCGUCAAGACGAAAAUGACAAAAAACUGCUUAACCAGUAAACGAUCAUCAAAGUAUCCCACAGGGGGAAACUGGUCGUUGGGUUUAGCGACCUCAUCUCAGGGGCUUACGAUUCAACAGACUCAACAGCAGUGAUUUUGAUUCCACUUGGUUUUAUCUUUGCUUUACCAUUUUUGGCAAUUGCAGUCCUCGUACUUGACGAUUAGGACAAAUGAUGGCCAUCUUUCUCCCUAAAAGUUUUUUAUUUUUUUAUGCUUCUUUUAUUGCAUUGAUUUAUUGAUGCUGAUAAUAGACACCUUACGUCAUGUAAAUGAAAUCAUGUAAGACAAUUUACAUUAACGACACGAAACCACCCACACACCGAGUCAAAAUAUAUAAAAAAAAACAAAACAAAAAAUUCAUAUAUCGUACAGUGCAAAAAGUAAAUUAAAUUUUCGUAACGGUUUGAAACGAGCGAAACAUGAAGUAUUGAAAAUUGAAAAUUGAUAUUGAUCGAUUGUGGGUGGGCGUUAAGUAUGGGAUCGUCGAAUGGUUACAUUCUAUUGGACACAACAGGGUAUUUUCAAAACACCUACACUCUUUAAUGUAAAAUGUUUGAUUGUAUAUGGCACGUGCUCAUGUGUUGAAGAUUGUCGUGCAAAAUGUCUUUGUAUAUAUGCAUUAAAAUCAAGGAGACAAAGAAAAAUAAAAAUAAAUAAAAGGAAGUCAGCCAUGGAGAAGUCAUCUGGUUGUGUAAUGUUUGUCAACAAUUAGGUGUAUUCAAUGACAAAGUUACGUCCGGCAAUAUAAGAUAAGACAGUUUGGUACCCACAAGGUACUUUUGGGUAUAUCGACGUGAAUAAUCGCAUCAAGAGUCAACAUCAUUCCUGUACAAUUUGCGUGGGAGUUUCAUGUACGAUCAUUAGGUUUGAGAUGUUAUCGUUUGCCUGUAAGUCACUCAGUCACUCGGGUUCCAAUUCUUUGGCUCGAUUAUACUCGUAAGGGAAGCUAAACGAUCUCGACGAUCUCAUCACGUUCAGCCAUCACCUCCCUUUCUUACCACUCCCUUUUUCCGUUUUAAACUUAGCAAUUUGUGUUUAAGACUGAAUGGAAUAUUGCAUUUUUGUGUCAAGUUAUUUUUUACCACAAGUUACCACUAUAAAUAUCGAGAGCUGAAAGAGACAUGGAAUUUUUGAGUUAAAGUCUGGUGGAAUAUUAUCUUGAUAACUGUGGUCAGAAUAAAUGGAGAAAAAAUUGGGCUCACACAUGAAUAGCUUUUUCUGCGCUUCCAACAGAAAAAAAAAAAAAAGAAAAAAAUCGACAACGAUUUAUGAAGCUAUGAUAUUACUCUUGAGACACAUGUAUAUACAUAUAUGAGUAUUUAUAUUCACAGUGUGUGCAGAUGAUAGUUUCCAUGCUCACAGCAUGAAUGUUUACUGGUGAAUCAUUUUCAGAUUGCCACUAUAUUCCAGCCCCCUAGUGGUGGCUAAUCGAUGCUUUUUACCUGAGGUUGUAAAUAAAAUCACUGCCAAGCAAGGAACCUGAAAACGGCAUCACAGCUUAGAUCGCAAGAUCAGGAGACCGUUUUGAAAAGUUGUUCUUGUCUUGAUGCAGUACUAUGUAUACAUAUAUAUAUUGAUUAUACACGAGAUGAGAGAAUAAUAAAAAAAGAAGAGGUUAGUGCUGGUCUGCAAUUUGAUCGUCACAUAUAUUUCAAAAAACGGGCUCCAGCAAGUUGGUGCUAUCGUUGUUAUUGUUCCUGCGAUUUCAUAUCGGUAUUUAUCUGGCUGGCAUGGUGAGUUUCUUGAUAAUUAUGGCAACCAAAAGGUGUUUCAUUCAGUAGAUUCACAUAUAUUAUACAGUCUUUACCUGUGCAGUUUAAAAAACAAGAAAAAAAAAAAAAAAUCACAGAAAAAUUUAUAUAUUUUAAUACUCGCAAGAUAUAUUUUUCCAGUGUCAGACUGUCUCAUCCUUAUUAUUGACCGCAUUGCUUAUUGGGGGGUAUAUUUUCGGUCAAUAAAACUCUCUUGAGCAAUGUGUUAUUUUCCUAUCAAAAUGUAUAUUGUGAAUGAGCCACUAAAAAUAUAAAGAAAGUGCACAGGAGGAUAUAUAACUCCUUGAAAAUGCUCGGGGUUCGUUAUUAACCCGGCCAAGUACAUAUAUACAUAUCCCGUUGAAAAUAACAUUUAAUCGUUUUUUACCCAACGGCAACAAUUGUUAUCCGUUAAUCAUAAAAUCGCAUUUUUUUUUUAUUUAAAAAAAAAAUAAAACAAAAAAACAAGCUGACAGCUCAAUGGCACGUGGAUACAUGCGAUAGAUUAGAUGCAGUAUAUGCACAUUGUGUCGAUUUUUCCGGCUCUUGUCACAAAAUUAAUGGGCCAAUGAACGAUGAACUCGUCAAUCCAUUCGAUGCUACAGUCAUAAAUAUUCCAAAAAAAAAUAACAGAAAAAAAAAAGAAAGAAACAAUUU
This 4389-nucleotide long non-coding RNA is filed under the name Aphidius gifuensis. RNAcentral's name for it is "uncharacterized LOC122851601". The record is from RNAcentral. Lineage: Eukaryota; Metazoa; Arthropoda; Insecta; Hymenoptera; Braconidae.